UACGGAGGGGGCUAGCGUUGUUCGGAAUCACUGGGCGUAAAGCGCACGUAGGCGGGUUGUUAAGUCGGGGGUGAAAUCCUGGAGCUCAACUCCAGAACUGCCUUCGAUACUGGCGACCUUGAGUCCGGGAGAGGUGAGUGGAACUCCGAGUGUAGAGGUGAAAUUCGUAGAUAUUCGGAAGAACACCAGUGGCGAAGGCGGCUCACUGGCCCGGUACUGACGCUGAGGUGCGAAAGCGUGGGGAGCAAACAGG
Molecule: ribosomal RNA, 253 nt
Filed under: uncultured bacterium
Lineage: Bacteria
Description: partial 16S ribosomal RNA
Rfam family: Bacterial small subunit ribosomal RNA
Source: RNAcentral